CGACAUAAUUUUAGCUUCAAGCUUAGUGUGAGCCCUAUGCCACCUUUGUGAACCAGAUAAUUAGUGGUGUGAGAUCAUGCUAGUGCAUUAUUGAGAAAGGUGUUCAACUUUGUAAUUUCUUAUUCCCAUUUAGUUUGUUUGUGAUGGUACAUCUGCUUACAUACAAAGGUGUAGCGGUAAUUACAUUAUGUAAAUGGAAGUGCUGGUCAAAGCUUUGAUUUCGUGGAAUGCGAAAGAAUCCUGCAAUAGCGAGGCGUGGGGUCAGCAGGUAAGCGUCUCUGUCCUCAGGGCCGGUAUAACAAAACUAUUCCAAUUUGUUUUGGGGCUCAUAUGAGAGAGGCCUCAGCCAUUUUGACCUGUCACGAAGGGCUAAUGGUGCAUUUGUAAUGAAAACACAUUGGAAUAGUUUUACGUUAUACUGGCCCAGGGUUGAUUGCGGCUCUCUGGGUCUGCGGUGACAUAUGGUGACCCAGAAAUUAUGUUACCGCGUCAACUGGACUGCAUAAUUUGAGAAAAUUUUUCGCUGUCAUCAUGAGCAUCGGCGCAGGAAUUAUAUAUUCUUCCUGAUACAGUCUAUUGUAGUGCCAUUGAUGUUUUCGGCUGUGCAGGAAAGCAUGUGCCAUGCCGCCGCUCGACCCACUCUUCCAUAUUCUGGUACACUACAGCUACAAAGCACGCUUCCCCCACCCCGUGUUCCAUUUGGCCUGUGGCAAGGCAAAACUAUUUCUAUUAUGUAAAAACGGCUUUCAGUAAACCACAGCAGUUCAUAACCCUGAUUUCUCCUUACGGUCUGUUAGUGAAGCGCAUUUCCAGGCACUUCACCCACACUGUCGAGCCAUUAAAUAAAAAUUUAUAAGAAAUGUCUUGGGGUUGCUUUUAGAAAUUUCGAACUCAUUAUUUCAAUAUGAUUGCUACCACUAAUUAAAAAUCUACAAGCACCACAUUACCAAAAUUUUCGUGCACUAGAAGGUUUAAGUAUCGGGGUAAUCUGCUUCAAAACUCAGUUUAUGACGUUGGUUAAUACAGUUGCAGUACAGCACUCGUGUUGGCUUAUUCUGUGUUCCGUCGUGGUUUCAAAGUGCACUGCCGUGUUCUAUAUUCCGUUAUUGCACCAAAAUUCAGAUUGGCCUGCUCUAAACUGCUUGAGUGUAAAAUUUUAUCUGCUCUUAGUUGCUCCAAAAUUAGUCUCCUCCAAGCUGCUCCAAAAUGCAAUUUUCUCUGCUGCAAACUGCUCCAAAACGGUACUUGCUCUAAAAAUUGGUCCAAAAUUACUUUGGGCAGUCCCACCUCUGUUUUUUGUGGCUGGCUGAUGGUACCAAAAACAUUUGUAUUACUGUGUAUAAAGGCUGUUAGAACCUCAGGUUUUUCUUUUUCUUUUUUAGUGAUGCUUUUAAUUUUCCAUUCUUUUCGUCCUGUGGUUGUGGCAUUGUUGUGCCACGGUACUGCACGCAACCGUCAGAAGAGUGCUCCUACUAACAGAUCUGAUUCAUUACCAUAGCUAUGCCCCAGGAUUGAAUUUAGACUGAGCCAUACGAGACAGUUCUGUGUGCCCAGGGACUGAAACUAAACUAAACCAUACUAGGCAGUUCUAUGCAAUUGAUCCCUUUGACCACUGUUCAGGGAAUGUGUGGUAAUUGUGGCAUAAUUAAUACCAUUAACUCUGAUGAGGCAAUGUUGAUUGGACGCCUGUUCCAUUAAUCUGUUUUGUCGACUCUCUUUGGUUCUAACAGUUGGAAGAGAAGGAGCGACUUCUAAAGAGGAAGCAACGGUUCAACUCCACACCAGCAGCAGAUGUUUCAAAGAAGGCUAAGACAAUCACCACCUAGACUCAACAUUUUUGCUGCUUCAGAGAGCUGACGCAGGCACAAAAUGGAUGACUGCUCUCCAGGAGCUGCUGGAGGUUUAAUUCAAUGUUCACCAACCCUCAUCAACAUCAUUGUGUUCUUUGUUACAAAGUUAAUAAAUUAUUCAUAUCAUUUAGUAAAAAUUCUGCUUGUA
RNAcentral lists this long non-coding RNA (1998 nucleotides) under Dermacentor andersoni. RNAcentral's name for it is "uncharacterized LOC126540737". Lineage: Eukaryota; Metazoa; Arthropoda; Arachnida; Ixodida; Ixodidae. The record is from RNAcentral.